GCCGUCGUUGGCCAGUGGCAGGCCCCUCGCGUCCUCUCAAGGGCGAAGAAAUCGAGGCUUACGGGAGCUACGGAGGUUCGAUUCCUCCCGACGGCG
Molecule: non-coding RNA, 96 nt
Organism: Mycena galericulata
Lineage: Eukaryota; Fungi; Basidiomycota; Agaricomycetes; Agaricales; Mycenaceae
Source: the annotation of a GenBank genome assembly